RNAcentral lists this long non-coding RNA (763 nucleotides) under Numida meleagris (helmeted guineafowl). RNAcentral's name for it is "lncRNA (ENSNMEG00000003887.1)". The record is from RNAcentral. Lineage: Eukaryota; Metazoa; Chordata; Aves; Galliformes; Numididae.
UGGGGACAAUAAGCAGGUUCUUUCUGAGGAGCAGUGUGCAGUUGAGAUCAAGAGCCAGAGCUCAACAUGGCCGUGCUGGUUUGGCCUAAGAGACUGCCCUGUCCAGAAAGAGGACGGGAACACAAAUCAGGUGCUCCCAAAGAGCAGCGUCCAGUGGAGAGCAAGUGCCCAACUCUCUUCCUGACCAUCUCUCUGACCAUGCCCCCAUUUGAUGGAUAUGUCCCUAGCUGUGCCAGCAGUCUCAGCAUGGUCAGCAAGUGGGACAAAAAGCUGGUCCUUCCCAAGGAGCAGCGUCCAGAUGACACCAAGAGCCAGACCUCAACAUGGCCCUGCAGGUUUAGCCUAACAGACUACCGCAUCGGGAACGAGGACGGGAACAAGAACCAGGUCCUUCCCGAUGAGCAGGGUCCAGAUGAGACGAAGAGCCAAAACUCAACAUGGCCAUGCUGCUUUGGCCAAAGCACCUGCCCCGUCAGGAACAAAAAUGGGGACAAUGUGCAGGUAACCACAUCCUUACUGAGGAGCAGUGUCCAGAUGAGACCAAGAGCCAGAGCUCAACAUGGCCAUGCUGGUUUGGCCUAAGAGACUGCCCUGUCCAGAAAGAGGACGGGAACAGAAAUCAGGUGCACCCCGAAGACCAGCGUCCCCAUGAGACUGUGAGCCAGACAUCCACCUGGCCCUGCUGCUUUGGCCUUAGAUACUGGCCCACGACAAACAAGAACAGGGACAAAAACCAGGUCCUUCCUGAGGAGCAGUGUCCAGA